GAUGAAGAACGUAGCGAAAUGCGAUAAGUAGUGUGAAUUGCAGAAUUCAGUGAAUCAUCGAAUCUUUGAACGCACAUUGCGCCUCCUGGUAUUCCGGGAGGCAUGCCUGUUCGAGCGUCAUUAAAAUCACUCAAGCUUAGGUUUACCUAUUGCUUGGUCUUGGAGAUGGAAGCCAAUUUAUUGGAAUCCUCUUCGAAAUUCAAUGGCGAAGACCCUUGCUCUCCCAAGUGUAGUAAUAACUUAUGUCACUGAAGGAAGCGAGAAAUCUUCUGCCGUAACCCCCAUAUUUUCUAUGAUUGACCUCGGAUCAGGUAGGGAUACCCGCUGAGCUUAAGCAUAUCAAUAAGCGGAGGA
This 354-nucleotide unclassified non-coding RNA is filed under the name soil metagenome. RNAcentral describes it as "partial contains 5.8S ribosomal RNA, internal transcribed spacer 2, and large subunit ribosomal RNA". The stretch from base 1 to 120 matches the Rfam family "5.8S ribosomal RNA", at positions 35 to 154 of the family's 154-position model. The record is from RNAcentral.